CCUACGGGAGGCUGCAGUGGGGGAUAUUGCGCAAUGGGGGAAACCCUGACGCAGCAACGCCGCGUGAAGGAAGAAGGCCUUCGGGUUGUAAACUUUUGUCUUUGGGGACGAUAAUGACGGUACCCGAGGAGGAAGCCACGGCUAACUACGUGCCAGCAGCCGCGGUAAUACGUAGGUGGCGAGCGUUGUCCGGAUUUACUGGGUGUAAAGGGCGUGUAGGCGGGAUAGCAAGUCAGAUGUGAAAUACCAAGGCUUAACUUUGGGGGUGCAUUUGAAACUGUUAUUCUUGAGUGUCGGAGAGGGAAGCGGAAUUCCUAGUGUAGCGGUGAAAUGCGUAGAUAUUAGGAGGAACACCAGUGGCGAAGGCGGCUUUCUGGACGAUAACUGACGCUGAGGCGCGAAAGCGUGGGGAGCGAACAGGCUUAGAUACCCCAGUAGUC
RNAcentral lists this ribosomal RNA (440 nucleotides) under uncultured Eubacteriales bacterium. RNAcentral's name for it is "bacterial SSU rRNA". It matches the Rfam family "Bacterial small subunit ribosomal RNA", at positions 338 to 795 of the family's 1533-position model. Lineage: Bacteria; Bacillati; Bacillota; Clostridia; Eubacteriales. The record is from RNAcentral.